UUUACUGCUAUUUUACUGCUGCAAACGCCUCUUCAAGAUGUGCUGGCACAGCCUCACUCCCCAAGUUAAACCCUUGGAAACACAGAAGAUGCCCCUGUCCAGCAGCAGUUGGGGCACGUGAAGUUUCAGGAAGGAAGGGAGGAGCUGCUUUGUUUUCUUCCUAGGGAAGGCCAGCAAUGGGAAUUUCACUAGAGAUCCUACCAACAUUAAAUACUCUGUGAAGCCUCAGGAGCUCCUGAGAUGAUGGAUGACAUCAAGAGCCAAAAGAACAUGUACAAAGCAUCUGCAGAAAGAGAUCCUUAAUGACUGUGUGAAGUCUGUUGAUUUGUUGCCAGUGAAUCUUGCUGAACAGGCUGAACCAAAAUUAUCUUCUUGCAAACAUUCUGUAAAUAGAUCAAUGCCGUAUCCUGUAUCAAACACUCCCUACCUGGAGCCCAUUGAAUAAAUGGAUGUCUUUGCUAUGAAAUUAUAAACCAGAACUUCAUGUGGCAUCAUACCCAUACAGAUUUGAAAUAAUUUAGCUUUCAGCAGGGUUUUCAGCAUUUCAAUAAGAGCAGUAUAAAUAGCCACAGUGUCUCAGCAUU
Pseudopodoces humilis (Tibetan ground-tit) is the source of this 584-nucleotide non-coding RNA. NCBI's taxonomy places the organism in Eukaryota, Metazoa, Chordata, Aves, Passeriformes, Paridae. The record is from RefSeq and is a predicted model, not a curated record.